RNAcentral lists this ribosomal RNA (256 nucleotides) under Providencia stuartii. Its description in RNAcentral is "partial 16S ribosomal RNA". It matches the Rfam family "Bacterial small subunit ribosomal RNA", at positions 884 to 1140 of the family's 1533-position model. Lineage: Bacteria; Pseudomonadati; Pseudomonadota; Gammaproteobacteria; Enterobacterales; Morganellaceae. The record is from RNAcentral.
GGCCGCAAGGUUAAAACUCAAAUGAAUUGACGGGGGCCCGCACAAGCGGUGGAGCAUGUGGUUUAAUUCGAUGCAACGCGAAGAACCUUACCUACUCUUGACAUCCAGAGAAUUUAGCAGAGAUGCUUUAGUGCCUUCGGGAACUCUGAGACAGGUGCUGCAUGGCUGUCGUCAGCUCGUGUUGUGAAAUGUUGGGUUAAGUCCCGCAACGAGCGCAACCCUUAUCCUUUGUUGCCAGCGAUUCGGUCGGGAACUC